This 471-nucleotide long non-coding RNA is filed under the name Olea europaea (common olive). RNAcentral describes it as "long non-coding RNA (OEUR_LNC008138)". Lineage: Eukaryota; Viridiplantae; Streptophyta; Magnoliopsida; Lamiales; Oleaceae. The record is from RNAcentral.
CGGUGGACGGGUGAAAGAAAUCAUGGAUGGAGGACAUCGAGUCGGAAGUAGGAGGUCAUACCACUAUAAACCUCCUGCUGCCGAUGCCGAUGCCGAUAGAUGGCUCAUGAAAGAAUACACUGUCUAUCCAUUGCACGAGGUUCUGGGCUCUAAUUUGGAGUAUAUAGUUUUCAUAUGUUAGAUUUUUUCCUCUUUUUUUGUGUGUCUAAUGAUUUUUGGUUCCUUUGGCAGAUGAACAACUUCGCCGUAGUGAAGUUACACAGGUGAUGAUAGCUCGGAUUUCGCCACUCGGGAGUGAUUGCAGGGAUGGCUUUAUGAUUAUGUUUUCAAGUACAUCUAAUUUUUAGGUUAACUUUUUUUUUUUUUUUUGGGUCAAAAUGUCGGGUUCUCAUUGGAGAAUAUAACACGGUGAAUGUUUUUUUUUUAAUCUAUAAUAUCCUUAAAAAGUUAUUCCAAUUUCCUGUUAUUCUU